GAGAGAGAGAGAGAGAGAGAGAGAGAGAGAGAGAUCAAUGGUGAAGGCAUCUGAGUUUUCUGAAGGCCAAGAUGAAGAGGAAGAUGAUGCUAGAACUGUAGAGUCUGAUCCAGGCUUCAAAAUCGCAUCGUUGAUUUACCAGAGAAUUAUAUACAUGUAUCCAAUUCUACACAAAUUGGAAGCUAACAAUAAUGGUAAUGGGACCAUGAAGCCUCUAAACAUUUCCAAAUCUUCAAUCUGCUCAUUUAACAGAAACCCUGCUGAUUUUAACGGGUACAUGAUUAGAGGUGAAGACCUAAAAUUUGGGAAGCGGAUUCCUUUUUCAAGGAGGCAUGGCUUAGUUAAAGUGGAUCAGCACAAGUGGCAGAGAAAUAUGAAAGCCCUCUACCAAAAAUGAAACGCGCACCACAUUGAAUUUGAUGAGGGAAAACUUUUCCAAGAAAAGGCACGUGAAGUGGAUGAAGAGUCAAAUGAAAUGAUUCUUAGAACAAGGA
Prunus mume (Japanese apricot) is the source of this 494-nucleotide non-coding RNA. NCBI's taxonomy places the organism in Eukaryota, Viridiplantae, Streptophyta, Magnoliopsida, Rosales, Rosaceae. The record is from RefSeq and is a predicted model, not a curated record.